UAUCAUCUCCGUAAAAAAAAUUCUCCAGAAUUUGAUUUCGGUUUUCGUAUUUAUAAUGGGAAGGGAGGAGUUAGUUAGGAAUUCAAAAUUCGAAAUUCGAAUUUUGAAUUAUUUGUUGGAUGGUUGGAGGAUAUUUGGGGAGUGGUUGGGAAUUCAAAAUUUGAAAUUGAAUUUUGAAUGAGUUGUUGGAUAGUUGGAAGAUAUUUUGGGAGUGGUUGGGAAUUCAAAAUUCGAAAUUGAAUUUUGAAUAGGUUAUGGGAUGGUUGGAAGAUAUGUUGGGAAUUGGUUGGAGGUUCGAAAUUCGAAAUCGAAUUUUGAAUGGGUUGUUGGAGGAUAUUUUGGAAAUUGGUUGGAAAUUUGAAAUUCGAAUUCAAAAUCGAAUUUUGAAUAGAUUGUUGGAUAGUUGAAAGAUAUUUUGAGGAUAGAUUCAAAAUUUGAAAUCAAAUUUUGAGUAGGUCGUUGGAGGAUGUUUUGGGGAUUAGUUGGGAAUUCGAAAUUCGAAAUUGAAUUUCGAAUGGGUUGUUGGAUGAUGUUUUGGGGAUUAGUUGGGAAUUCGAAAUUCGAAAUCGAAUUUCGAAUGGGUUGUUGGAUGAUGUUUUGAAUCCAAAAAUCGAAUUUUGAAUGGGUUGUGAUUUGAAAUCGAAUUUCGAACAGAUAUUUUAUAUAAUGUGGAUGUGGGCCGUCGUUGAUCAGGCCCGCUUUAAUUUAUUGGGCCCAAAUGAUAAUAUUUAAUGGGCUGGAAUAAGGCCCCCCCUAUUCUCUUUUAUUUGUAUGGGCUUUCAUGAGGCCCACCAACUCACAUUUAUGAAUGGGCCUAUUGUGGAUUUUAAAUUGUAAUUAUUGGCCCCAAAAUUUUCUGGUCAACAUAAGACCUAUCAAAAUUAUUUGAGUCAGAAUCUAAUUGGUUUCGAUUAUGAUUAGAAAUUUUUUUUUUUUCACUUCAAACACACAUUUCGUGAGCCUAAUCGAGAGGAGCUAGUAUAUCAGGUGUCUAAAAGCUCGCUCUUCGUGGCGACUGUGUCGGCGGCACGGGCGAGGAAAAUGAUAAAGGGUGGUUGUCACGCCCCUGGACCGGCGGAGGCCCUCCCGGUAGCGUGCCCAGACCCGCCAUAUGUCUACACAUAUAAGGCGUCUAGGAUGAAAGCGGAAGUAAAAGCAAGUAAUAGAAUAAAUAGAAGAAGUGAAAUAACUAGCAACUAAUGAUAUCAGAGCGAGUAAAGUUCUAACAUCUACACCAAAGUAAAUAAGUAAAGCUAGACAAUAAAAGAAAUCAUAAGUAGUACAAUAACUGUCUCUAGUACAAAAAUGGUGGUCUCUAGUACACUGGUAA
Molecule: long non-coding RNA, 1330 nt
Filed under: Ananas comosus (pineapple)
Lineage: Eukaryota; Viridiplantae; Streptophyta; Magnoliopsida; Poales; Bromeliaceae
Description: long non-coding RNA (ACOM_LNC034263)
Source: RNAcentral